Molecule: ribosomal RNA, 253 nt
Filed under: uncultured bacterium
Lineage: Bacteria
Description: partial 16S ribosomal RNA
Rfam family: Bacterial small subunit ribosomal RNA
Source: RNAcentral
UACGGGGGAGGCAAGCGUUGUUCGGAAUUACUGGGCGUAAAGGGCUCGUAGGCGGCCAACUAAGUCGGAUGUGAAAUCCCCAGGCUCAACUUGGGAACUGCAUCCGAUACUGGAUGGCUUGAAUUCGGGAGAGGGAUGCAGAAUUCCAGGUGUAGCGGUGAAAUGCGUAGAUAUCUGGAGGAAUACCGGUGGCGAAGGCGGCAUCCUGGACCGACAUUGACGCUGAGGAGCGAAAGCUAGGGGAGCAAACGGG